GAUCGUUUUGAUAUGUGCUGAGGUCAUUUUCUCAGCAUUUUCGGUGGGAAAAAGCAGAAAGAAGAAGCAAAUAGCAGGGAAAUGACCAAAAAGCAAUAUUACCAUUUCUCACGUCACAUCUAUCAGCACUUAACUAUAACAAAAUGGCCAAAAAUAUGACGUCAGGCAAGUCAGUUUAUCAAGCAUCUUAGCUCAUGAAAUUAAAUCAUGCCACUCAUCAGGAAACUCUUUUAUUUUCCUCUCUCAUUACACGUACAUACACAUCAAAUGAAAAUUAAAACAAGUGUACAAUGAGCUGUACUUUUAUUUAAUAUAUAUAAAACAUAAUACGCAUCAAUAUAAUAUUUAAAAAAUAAAGGGCUCAAACCGGGUGGUACGUUGGGGGUGUGUGCAUCCGAUCCACACAGUCCAUCAGCCAAGCUUGUCGUCUGUAAUUUCAUCUCUCACUCGAUGUCGAUCACACAUCAACAGAACUUACAUAUAGGACCAGCGUUAGGGCAACGACCAAGCCGUCGUGAUCGUGGUGGAUUCGGUGACUCGCAAUCUGCGACAGUGACA
RNAcentral lists this long non-coding RNA (558 nucleotides) under Setaria italica (foxtail millet). RNAcentral describes it as "long non-coding RNA (SITA_LNC000096)". Lineage: Eukaryota; Viridiplantae; Streptophyta; Magnoliopsida; Poales; Poaceae. The record is from RNAcentral.